This 164-nucleotide ribosomal RNA is filed under the name Marsdenia tinctoria. RNAcentral describes it as "5.8S ribosomal RNA". It matches the Rfam family "5.8S ribosomal RNA". From Rfam's summary of the family: 5.8S ribosomal RNA (5.8S rRNA) is a component of the large subunit of the eukaryotic ribosome. It is transcribed by RNA polymerase I as part of the 45S precursor that also contains 18S and 28S rRNA. The record is from RNAcentral. Lineage: Eukaryota; Viridiplantae; Streptophyta; Magnoliopsida; Gentianales; Apocynaceae. RNAcentral also lists the same sequence under 1 other name.
CACACGACUCUCGGCAACGGAUAUCUAGGCUCUCGCAUCGAUGAAGAACGUAGCAAACUGCGAUACUUGGUGUGAAUUGCAGAAUCCCGUGAACCAUCGAGUCUUUGAACGCAAGUUGCGCCCGAAGCCAUUAGGCCGAGGGCACGCCUGCCUGGGCGUCACGC